AAACCCAGCCAGAUGGGUGGGGUAUAAAUAAUAAUAAUAAUAAUAAUAAUAAUAAUAAUAAUAAUAAUUUAUUAUUUGUACCCCGCCCAUCCGGCUGGGUUU
Non-coding RNA from Podarcis lilfordi (Lilford's wall lizard), 102 nucleotides. Lineage: Eukaryota; Metazoa; Chordata; Lepidosauria; Squamata; Lacertidae. The record is from the annotation of a GenBank genome assembly.